Molecule: long non-coding RNA, 407 nt
Organism: Haemorhous mexicanus (house finch)
Lineage: Eukaryota; Metazoa; Chordata; Aves; Passeriformes; Fringillidae
Exons: 2
Source: RefSeq, a predicted model, not a curated record
GAUGUGGGUUAACCUGGAUGUUUGAUGAAGCUCCUCUCCUUCUCCAGUCAUUGAUUACUACUUCCAUUAAUUUAGGUGAUGGUAUAGAAUACAGCCAGCAGAAGCGUGAAAAUAUUGGAGUUCUCAUCCGAGAGACAUUGGAACUCUUUGAACGCUACGGUGGAGAAAAUGCUUAUAUAAACAUUAAAUACAUGAUUCCCACUUACUGGUCGUGCAUGUAAACUGAGUUAUAUUAAAUGGGAUGAUUCCAUCUGUGCUCUGAAAAAACUAUCUGACUCUGUAUGGCAUCUUGUUAGUCAUGCUUUAUCUUCUCUACAGCUGCUAAAAUAGUGGCUUCUGGGGCAUUGGAGUGCUAGCACUAUUGUGAACAAGGCUUUCCAAUACAUAAAUAGUGUCUGUUCCUUUGA